Molecule: long non-coding RNA, 620 nt
Organism: Glossina fuscipes
Lineage: Eukaryota; Metazoa; Arthropoda; Insecta; Diptera; Glossinidae
Exons: 3
Source: RefSeq, a predicted model, not a curated record
ACCAAUUAGAACGAACCUCGGCAAAAUAAACAAAUGUUGGCGCUCAUUUAAAUGGGGUAGAAAAAUUACCAGGACCAAUUUGAAUAUAUAUACUUAUAUGGGCUUUUUUACAUUCUACGGCUCGCUGAUUAUUUUACUUUCAUGCAGAAAUGUGACACUUUACAUUCGAUGCCGGGCAAACACUCGUACGCCAUCGAGUACUAUAGCGAACCAAACGAGGAGAAUGAACUCAAAAUCCAAAUUCGCUGUCAAGCUCGCUCGAUAACGGGCAACGUAAAGUGACCCCAGUUCUUCAAAAAGUAAAAACCAAAACCAAGCUGCCGAGUAACAGAUUCCUAAUUAUCCGAAUUAAAUACCUUUUAAUGUUUAUAAAAAGUUAAACGAUAAUGAACUCCAUCAAUUUCAUUCUAUUUAUAACUUUCCCACAUGCAUUACAUAAUUAUGACUAGCACAUCAAAUACGUGAUAACUAAAAACUAACUGUGCGUACAAACGUGGAAAAGGAUUUUCGCUUCGAUCAUUUGAAAGCUUAUAAUUUGAAUCCUCUCAGCAUAAUUUGAAAAAUGUCAUUGGCAAGUCCGAUAUAUGUUUAUUAGAAGUAUUUUUGUUUUUUGCAAUAUU